CGGCACUGCAGCUGAGGACCCCCGCGUUCCCUAGCAACGCCCCAAACCUGCGGAGGCGACUCCUGCACCCGCCGGGCCCACGCUGGGGGUAGGCGAGGGGAGACGCGCCUCGCCGGGCUUCUUCCUGAACAGGGUUUCUCUCCUUCCUCCGUGAAAAAGGAUCCCGAGGUGGAGUCACGGUGGAGGAACUCAGAAGCUCUUUGCUGCAGCCCAGUGGCCGCCGGCGGAACCUGACGGGGCUCGGAGGCCCGGGCGGGACAGGGCCAGGCCGUGAGCGUGCCCUUUAUCCCCCACAGCCGUGAGUUUGGGGGCAUCUGUCCCCCUUCGCAGGGGCUGUAUGAUUAGAAACAAACACAGUGAAUGCAGUUGCCAAGCACUGUCCACCAGAAAGAUAGCAUGGACAUUGAGGCAGCCAUGACAGGACAACUAAAGACACACCUGAAAGAGGACUUCCAGAGCUACUUCAGAAAGUGGCAAGAACAAUGGGAUAAGAGCCUCCAUUCUGAUUUCCAUAAUGGCUUCAGUAACCUACAUUCCCAGCAGGAGCCCACAAAGAUUCCUUUUCCUCCACACCUUCACCAAUACCUGGCAGCCCUUGCUCCCUUACUAACAGCCAUUUACCAGAGAAUGAACUAAGGCACCUCCCUAUUCAGAGGUUCUCCAGAAACAGUGAGGAGACUGCAGACCUCCGACAUCUACCUGCUGCUCAGGGGCAGUAUUUCAGCAGGAGCCUCCCAGCCAAAGUGCCAGGGUUGCUUUACAGAGCCAGACCCAACCUCAGCGGAAACCACAGGCCCGGGACACAGACACUGCCGAUUUAAGAAGUAAUUACAACAUUGAACACGGCCUUAAAUAAAAGCAAAAAUGCAGGAGACAGGAGGGAAAACAGAAGCAUACAUUGGGAACUAUGCCAUUUUCCCCAGAUGUUUUGUAAUAUUUGCAACCUGGCUGCAUCUGACAUGAGCUGAGCACCCACCCAGGAGGAGUGGGUGGCUCUGUCCUGGAAAGAGUGAGAAGAAAAAUAAAUAAAUAGAUUAAUUAAUUAAUUAAAAUUCAAAAAGCAGUGAGAAGAAAUGCCUCAAUAUCAGAGAUCAUCCAUCUGCCUGAAUGCCUUUUUGUUUAAUGCCCUUCUCCAGUGAGAACCCUCUUCUACUGGUCCUCAAGGAAUGAAUUAGUAUACUAUAUCAUGACAAGUAAUGAAAG
RNAcentral lists this long non-coding RNA (1203 nucleotides) under Heterocephalus glaber (naked mole-rat). RNAcentral describes it as "lncRNA (ENSHGLG00000041591.1)". The record is from RNAcentral. Lineage: Eukaryota; Metazoa; Chordata; Mammalia; Rodentia; Bathyergidae.